Molecule: ribosomal RNA, 526 nt
Filed under: uncultured bacterium
Lineage: Bacteria
Description: bacterial SSU rRNA
Rfam family: Bacterial small subunit ribosomal RNA
Source: RNAcentral
AAUAGAUACCCAGGUAGUCCACGCCGUAAACGAUGAGUGCUAAGUGUUAGAGGGUUUCCGCCCUUUAGUGCUGCAGCUAACGCAUUAAGCACUCCGCCUGGGGAGUACGGUCGCAAGACUGAAACUCAAAGGAAUUGACGGGGGCCCGCACAAGCGGUGGAGCAUGUGGUUUAAUUCGAGGCAACGCGAAGAACCUUACCAGGUCUUGACAUCCUCUGACAACUCUAGAGAUAGAGCGUUCCCCUUCGGGGGACAGAGUGACAGGUGGUGCAUGGUUGUCGUCAGCUCGUGUCGUGAGAUGUUGGGUUAAGUCCCGCAACGAGCGCAACCCUUGAUCUUAGUUGCCAGCAUUCAGUUGGGCACUCUAAGGUGACUGCCGGUGACAAACCGGAGGAAGGUGGGGAUGACGUCAAAUCAUCAUGCCCCUUAUGACCUGGGCUACACACGUGCUACAAUGGAUGGUACAAAGGGCUGCAAGACCGCGAGGUCAAGCCAAUCCCAUAAAACCAUUCUCAGUUCGGAUUGU